Molecule: long non-coding RNA, 556 nt
Organism: Harmonia axyridis
Lineage: Eukaryota; Metazoa; Arthropoda; Insecta; Coleoptera; Coccinellidae
Exons: 2
Source: RefSeq, a predicted model, not a curated record
AACAUGCUACAACUCCUCGCCAGCUUCCUGACAGGGCACUGCUGUCUCAGAAACCACCUUAUAAGAAUAGGGUUAACAAAACCUGACGAGUACAGAUUCUGUUGAAGAGGAGGAAGAAACUCCUGAUCACCAGGUCACAAAAUGCACUGCCCAUGCAAAAAAUGUUUAAGACGAAACAUUUGUAGGAAUUAGGAUAUACCUUCCUAAAAUCAAUCCGAGAUACCAGAGUUUGUUACAACUCUGGAAGUGGAAGGCAAUCUGAAGAUGGUGCAAUGGUUAGCACAGCUCUGAUGGGAGACACAAUAGAACUUCAAGACACUAUACAAGUGUUUGCGAGGAGAACAUUGGUCCCAUUUCCCUCCCCGCAGCGGACGCCACUGAUUGGAACCUGUGUGUCGCUUCCCAUCGACCGCUUACUGGCCUAGAAACUGUACACCCUCGACUGGAACACUUGUUCCAAAGGCAGGUGAUUAAUGAACAUCUCCCCCGACGCUCUCCUCUUGUCUUGAAUUCAUCACUUCAUUUCUUUCGGGCAGGCCAAUAAAAUUAAAUUGUU